UGGCUCAGAGGUUAAAGCGCCUGCCUGGAAUGCAGGAGACCCAGGUUCGAUCCCUGG
Molecule: transfer RNA, 57 nt
Filed under: Bos grunniens (domestic yak)
Lineage: Eukaryota; Metazoa; Chordata; Mammalia; Artiodactyla; Bovidae
Also listed under: 2 other names
Rfam family: tRNA
About the family: Transfer RNA (tRNA) molecules are approximately 80 nucleotides in length.
Source: Rfam by way of RNAcentral